CGAAAGCGUUUUAACAGCGCAAAACCCACUGUGAACAUACCUGUUUGUUGCUUCGGCAGGCGGCCCCAGGGCGGGGCCAGCAGCCUGUAUUUUUCAGGCGCCCUGCCAGGAGGCCACUUCAACUCUUUUGUAUACGUACUUUCUGAGCCUAAAAUAAAAUACGUUA
Molecule: unclassified non-coding RNA, 166 nt
Filed under: soil metagenome
Description: partial internal transcribed spacer 1
Source: RNAcentral